RNAcentral lists this transfer RNA (63 nucleotides) under Laticauda colubrina (yellow-lipped sea krait). RNAcentral's name for it is "tRNA-Phe". It matches the Rfam family "tRNA". From Rfam's summary of the family: Transfer RNA (tRNA) molecules are approximately 80 nucleotides in length. Their secondary structure includes four short double-helical elements and three loops (D, anti-codon, and T loops). Lineage: Eukaryota; Metazoa; Chordata; Lepidosauria; Squamata; Elapidae. The record is from RNAcentral.
GUUGUCAUAGCUUAAAAUCAAGCAUAGCACUGAAAAUGCUAAGAUGGCCCACUCCUGAUAACA